Molecule: ribosomal RNA, 869 nt
Filed under: uncultured archaeon
Lineage: Archaea
Description: bacterial SSU rRNA
Rfam family: Archaeal small subunit ribosomal RNA
Source: RNAcentral
CGGUUGAUCCUGCCGGAGGUCACUGCUAUUGGGAUUCGACUAAGCCAUGCGAGUCGAGAGGGUUCGGCCCUCGGCUGACGGCUCAGUAACACGUGGAUAAUCUGCCNUUAGGUGGAGGAUACCCUCGGGAAACUGAGAAUAAUACUCCAUAGGCCUAGGAUGCUGGAAUGCACCUAGGCUGAAAGUUCCGGCGCCUAAGGAUGAGUCUGCGGACUAUCAGGUUGUAGUCAGGGUAAAGACCUGACUAGCNUACGACGGAUACGGGUUGUGAGAGCAAUAACCCGGAGAUGAUAUCUGAGACACGAUAUCAGGCCCUACGGGGCGCAGCAGGCGCGAAAACUUCACACUGUGCGAAAGCACGAUGAGGGAAUCCCAAGUGCUUGCACGUAAGUGUAAGCUGUUUUUCUGUCUAAAACACAGAGAGAGUAAGAGCUGGGUAAGACGGGUGCCAGCCGCCGCGGUAAUACCUGCAGCUCAAGUGGUGGCCGCUAUUAUUGGGCCUAAAACGUUCGUAGCCGGUUUAGUAAAUGCCUGGGUAAAUCGUGUAGCUUAACUAUACGACUUCCGGGUAGACUGCUAAACUUGAGACCGGGAGAGGCUAGAGGUACUCCUGGGGUAGAGGUGAAAUUCUGUAAUCCUAGGGGGACCACCAGUGGCGAAGGCGUCUAGCUAGAACGGGUCUGACGGUGAGGGACGAAGCCCUGGGGCACAAACCGGAUUAGAUACCCGGGUAGUCCAGGGUGUAAACGCUGCUUGCUUGAUGUUAGUUGGGCUCCGAGCCCAACUAGUGUCGGAGAGAAGUUGUUAAGCAAGCUGCCUGGGAAGUACGGUCGCAAGGCUGAAACUUAAAGGAAUUGGCGGGGGAGCAC